This 430-nucleotide ribosomal RNA is filed under the name Pseudomonadota bacterium. Its description in RNAcentral is "Proteobacteria bacterium partial 16S ribosomal RNA". It matches the Rfam family "Bacterial small subunit ribosomal RNA", at positions 355 to 776 of the family's 1533-position model. The record is from RNAcentral. Lineage: Bacteria; Pseudomonadati; Pseudomonadota.
UGGGGAAUAUUGGACAAUGGGGGGAACCCUGAUCCAGCCAUGCCGCGUGUGUGAAGAAGGCCUUAUGGUUGUAAAGCACUUUAAGCGAGGAGGAGGGUACUGGUAUUAAUACUACCAGCUACUGGACGUUACUCGCAGAAUAAGCACCGGCUAACUCUGUGCCAGCAGCCGCGGUAAUACAGAGGGUGCGAGCGUUAAUCGGAUUUACUGGGCGUAAAGCGUGCGUAGGCGGCUAAUUGAGUCGGAUGUGAAAUCCCCGAGCUUAACUUGGGAAGUGCAUUCGAUACUGGUUAGCUAGAGUGUGGGAGAGGAUGGUAGAAUUCCAGGUGUAGCGGUGAAAUGCGUAGAGAUCUGGAGGAAUACCGAUGGCGAAGGCAGCCAUCUGGCCUAACACUGACGCUGAGGUACGAAAGCAUGGGGAGCAAACAGG